This 349-nucleotide ribosomal RNA is filed under the name uncultured bacterium. RNAcentral's name for it is "bacterial SSU rRNA". It matches the Rfam family "Bacterial small subunit ribosomal RNA", at positions 1 to 334 of the family's 1533-position model. The record is from RNAcentral.
GACGUGACUUCAGAGUUUGAUCCUGGCUCAGGACGAACGCUGGCGGCAUGCCUAAUACAUGCAAGUCGUGCGAACAAUCAUGGUGCUUGCACCAUUGAGCGUUAGCGGCGAACGGGUGAGUAACACGUAAGGAAUCUACCGUUAAGUGGGGGACAACAUUCGGAAACGAGUGCUAAUACCCCAUAGGAAUCUUGACCUCAUGAUCUUGAUUGGAAAGACGGCUCUGCUGUCGCUUAAUGAUGACCUUGCGGUGCAUUAGUUAGUUGGUGAGGUAACGGCUCACCAAGACAGUGAUGCAUAGCCGACCUGAGAGGGUGAUCGGCCACAUUGGGACUGAGACACGGCCCAA